This 466-nucleotide ribosomal RNA is filed under the name uncultured bacterium. RNAcentral describes it as "partial 16S ribosomal RNA". It matches the Rfam family "Bacterial small subunit ribosomal RNA", at positions 28 to 507 of the family's 1533-position model. The record is from RNAcentral.
GACGAACGCUGGCGGCGUGCUUAACACAUGCAAGUCGAACGGAAAGGCCUCUUUCGGGGGGUACUCGAGUGGCGAACGGGUGAGUAACACGUGAGUAACCUGCCCUUGACUUUGGGAUAACUUCAGGAAACUGGGGCUAAUACCGGAUAGGAGCUCCUGCUGCAUGGUGGGGGUUGGAAAGUUUCGGCGGUUGGGGAUGGACUCGCGGCUUAUCAGCUUGUUGGUGGGGUAGUGGCUUACCAAGGCUUUGACGGGUAGCCGGCCUAGAGGGUGACCGGCCACAUUGGGACUGAGAUACGGCCCAGACUCCUACGGGAGGCAGCAGUGGGGAAUAUUGCACAAUGGGUGGAAGCCUGAUGCAGCAACGCCGGGUGCGGGAUGACGGCCUUCGGGUUGUAAACCGCUUUCGCUCAUGACGAAGCUUUGUGUGACGGUAGUGGGUAAAGAAGCACCGGCUAACUACGUG